This 24-nucleotide ribosomal RNA is filed under the name Cortinarius semisanguineus. RNAcentral's name for it is "partial 18S ribosomal RNA". Lineage: Eukaryota; Fungi; Basidiomycota; Agaricomycetes; Agaricales; Cortinariaceae. RNAcentral also lists the same sequence under 1 other name. The record is from RNAcentral.
AGGUGACCUGCGGNAGGAUCAUUA